UGAUUCCAUAGCAGCCAAUGAUCCUAUUUUUCACUGAUAGCACUUGUAAAAUAAUAAUUUCUCAAUUAAUAUUCACACAUAAAAUUUGGGGUAUUACAUAGACAACUUGCCUCUUCAGAUAAGUUGCUCCAUGACACGGUCAUCUUAGGUCAUGUUGAGACUGAGUUUGGCCAAACAACGACAAGCACUCCAAUGCUAUUCGGACACCUCUACACUUUUAUCAAGUAGUUUGAAUCAUAAAAUGGUUUUCAACAUCGUACAAAAGGGAGAGAGAAAAAUUGAGCAGCUGACUAAUAUGCUCUACAUUGGAUGUUGAAUUAUGGAUGAACCAGUCCUAUGAUGAAUCAAUUUUAUUUUGCUAUAAAUUUUAUUUAAUUUUACAACUCAAAAUACAAGAACGUAGAUAGAUUAUUAUGCUGGGAACAGAAAAGUCAAAAAAAAAUUGAAAUGCAUCAUGCAUUGCAGCCAAACACACCAUGUCAGGCAAUUCAACAAACACCUUAUACCAGAAUCAAAAACUCAUUCAGGCAACUGAUAAAACACCUUUAAACCAUAUUCAAAAACCUAUUCAGGCAAUUUAUCAAACACCUUAUACCAUAUUCAAAAUCUUACAAGCAGCAACUGAGGAUUGCAAGAACACACUAUGAUUUCUCUUCAAUCACUUCAGCAGAAUCCCAUGAGUUUUUCUCAUCGGAAAGUGAAUUUGUAGUAUGGGAGGCUUGAUCUUGGGCGUUAAUGAUUUGCUCCAUGUCUGUUAUUCUCGUUCUCAUAACAUUGGCCACCAAAACUGCAAAUGAAUCAGACGGUAAAUUCAAUCACAAUCACUAAUUCAUACAC
RNAcentral lists this long non-coding RNA (837 nucleotides) under Olea europaea (common olive). RNAcentral describes it as "long non-coding RNA (OEUR_LNC013741)". The record is from RNAcentral. Lineage: Eukaryota; Viridiplantae; Streptophyta; Magnoliopsida; Lamiales; Oleaceae.